RNAcentral lists this ribosomal RNA (305 nucleotides) under uncultured bacterium. RNAcentral's name for it is "bacterial SSU rRNA". It matches the Rfam family "Bacterial small subunit ribosomal RNA", at positions 333 to 636 of the family's 1533-position model. The record is from RNAcentral.
CUCACCCUACGGGGCGCAGCAGCGAGGAAUAUUGGUCAAUGGGCGGGAGCCUGAACCAGCCAAGUCGCGUGAGGGACGACGGUGCUAUGGAUUGUAAACCUCUUUUGUCGGGGAACAAAGGCGUCCACGGGUGGGCGGAUGAGUGUACCCGAAGAAAAAGCAUCGGCUAACUCCGUGCCAGCAGCCGCGGUAAUACGGAGGAUGCGAGCGUUAUCCGGAUUUAUUGGGUUUAAAGGGUGCGUAGGCGGACAGUCAAGUCAGCGGUAAAAAUGCGGCGCUCAACGCCGUACAGCCGUUGAAACUGG